RNAcentral lists this ribosomal RNA (153 nucleotides) under Fructilactobacillus fructivorans. RNAcentral's name for it is "partial 16S rRNA". It matches the Rfam family "Bacterial small subunit ribosomal RNA", at positions 1380 to 1533 of the family's 1533-position model. Lineage: Bacteria; Bacillati; Bacillota; Bacilli; Lactobacillales; Lactobacillaceae. The record is from RNAcentral.
CUUGUACACACCGCCCGUCACACCAUGAUAGUUUGUAACACCCAAAGUCGGUUAGGUAACUUUUGGAGCCUGCCGCCUAAGGUGGGACAGAUGAUUAGGGUGAAGUCGUAACAAGGUAGCCGUAGGAGAACCUGCGGCUGGAUCACCUCCUUU